GACGAACGCUGGCGGCGUGCUUAACACAUGCAAGUCGAACGGAAAGGCCUCUUUCGUGUGGUACUCUCGUGGCGCACGGGUGAGUAACACGUGAGUAACCCGUCCUCUUCUUUGUGAUAACUUCUGGAAACUGGGGGUAUAACCGGAUAUGAGCUCCUCCUGUAUGGUGGGGGGUGGGAAUUUUCGGCGGUUUGGGGGGGGAUCGCGGCUUUUCCGCUUUUUGGUGUGGUAGUGGGUUAUCAAGGCUUUGACGGGUAGCCGGACUGAGAGGGUGAACGGGCACAUUGGGACCGAGAUAACGCCCAGACUCCUAACGGAAGCAACAGUGGGGAAUAUUGCACCAUGGGUGGAAGGCCGAUGCAGCAAAGCCGUGUGCGGGAUGAACGCCUUCGGGGUGGAAAACGGCUUCGCUCAUGAAGGAACCUUGUGUGACGGUAAUGGGUAAAGAAGCACCGGCUAACUACGUG
This 467-nucleotide ribosomal RNA is filed under the name uncultured bacterium. RNAcentral describes it as "partial 16S ribosomal RNA". It matches the Rfam family "Bacterial small subunit ribosomal RNA", at positions 28 to 507 of the family's 1533-position model. The record is from RNAcentral.